This 19148-nucleotide long non-coding RNA is filed under the name Coffea arabica (coffee). RNAcentral describes it as "long non-coding RNA (CARA_LNC007936)". The record is from RNAcentral. Lineage: Eukaryota; Viridiplantae; Streptophyta; Magnoliopsida; Gentianales; Rubiaceae.
AUAGAUAGGUUGUGUGCUUAUGUGGCUUAUGUGUUACGUGCCUUACUUGCUUUCCUUAGGAUUUUUGCAUCUAGAUAUUAUGCUUAUGUGUUACGUGCUACGUGCUCUUAUGUGUUUAUUUGUUUUAAUUUAUGUCUACUUGUCUUAUUAUGUAUUAAAAAUGCAUGACGUCACCACACUAGUCCAACGCUAGUUGUGGUUUCUCCCUCCGCUUACUUGCUAGUCCAACGCUAGUAAGGAUUUUUAAAAAUGGGCUAGUCCAACGCUAGACCCUUUAGGCCGUCUUGCGUUAGAUUCAUCUUUGUGUGCUAUUCACUACAUUUUCAUGCAUAUUUUCAUUUUUAGGAUAUUUUCUCAUUUGUAUGAUAUUCCCUAUUAUAUUAUCCCAUAUUCUCUAUAGGUGUUAAUCAUGUCAUUUAGAAUUGCAUCUCAUUUAAGCUAGUUCAUUUGCUUGUUCAUGUUAGGAUAAUUAUUUUUCAAACAUGGAAAAUGGGUGAUUAUAACUCUAUAGUUUAAAUACCCUAUUAAUCCAUGUAUAAGAAAAUUAUGUCACGAAUUUUUUCGCCUCCCGUACCCUUUAUGUUGCAUUCCCUUUUUCUUUGAUCACUUAUAUAUAUGUAUAUAAUUUAAUUUCUUUUAUUUUAUUUUAUUUUUCAUCAUUUGCAUCCUCGUGACACCUUCAAGGAUUCAUUUUGGCCUUCGCAAUUAAUGCGAUUGAUCCAAUUAAACCCUUGAAUGAACAUUUUGUCCCUUUCGAUAUUUUUAGAUUUGCAUCCAUGUAGGAAACAUCCAAACGUGAUAAAAUUAAGGGUUAGAUUAGGAAAAUUUUGACUAAACCUCGCAACUAGCUUAGACUAGCUUGAAAGGGUGCCUUAGGUUUGAGUUAAUCGAACCUUUGCCUUCCCUUUCUUCAACCGUGACUCCCGAAUCCAUUUUCUCUUGUUUUCAAAGACCUGGAGUUGUCAAAAAGGGUUUUAUUUUAUUUUAUUUUACUUUAUUUUUUGGGUGACUUGGUACACCAAAAUUUCAUACCAAGUGGCGACUCCUAUUUUUUCUUAAAAACCCUUUUAGACUAAAUUUUGGACCCAAAUUGUCGCAUUCUUUAAAGUCCCAUUCUAGGUCCUUUUUCAUUUAUUUUAAAAUAAGAUUACAUAUUUUGUAAAUACCUAUUUUUAUACUUAUAUUUUUCCGUCACGAAAAAUGGGGCGCGACAUGAGAUAAAAAGAUAAUUGGGAAGAUAAAAAGGUGUAUGAAAAUUAUAAUGGUGAUGUAAACAAAUAUAUUUGGGCAAAUAAUCUCUUGUCCAAGCAAGUUAAUUUUUUUUUACUUGGCCUAUUUUUAAUUCCUUGGUUACAUACUUAAUAGGGUAUUACCCGAUAUGGAAAAGGCCAGAUGUGUUAGAAUAGUUGCCAGAUUCAUCGUGACAAAAAAAUUAAUUUGCAUUUAUGAGUUAGAUAUUUAGCUACAAUGUGACUUUUUUUUCAUUUAUAUUAUCGUCAUCAAAAUGUUCAGUAUAAAGAAUUUGAACAUGAUUAAAUUUGAAAUUAAUUUUGAGACGUUAAUGUCAACUUACAACUACUCAUGCCCUCGGUGCUUAAUAACUACCACAUAACUCAAUCAUGCUAAAAGAUUUUUGUUUUUAUAAACCGUAUUCUCAAUAUGUAAAAACUACAUAAAUCCAAAAUUAUCAUACUUUCUUUGUGAAAAUAUUAGAAUAAAAUCUUUUUUUGGGCGAUUUGGGUAUUUGUGUUGGGCACCCACUUAAUUUUUUUUUUUUGUAUAUGAAAAUAUAUUUGAGAAAGUUUAUGUAUCAAAAUCUAUUAAUUAAUAUAUUGGGUCAUAUUUGGGUCAUGAGUUUGAGAUGACCCAAUAUGACCCAAUCCAGAAUUAAUCCAAUUUAAAGUUGGGCGGGUUGGGUAUAACUCAUUUAAAUGAAAAUCCAAUAUUAACCCACCCAACCAACCCAAUUGCCAGUAGGGAUGGCAACGGGGCGGGGUUGGGGCGGGGGACCUCUCCCCUAUCCCCCGCCCCGCUGCCUACAAACUCCCCCUGCCCCCGCCCCAUCCUCCGUCCCCCGCUCCCCCGCCCCGUCCCGCUUCCCCCGCGAGUGCCCCCGUGGGGCUAAUAAAAAUUUGUUAUAUAAUUUUAUUAUGAUUAAAUUUUAAUAAAUAAUCAAGUACUAAAAUAUCAACACAUCAUCAAUUGUAAUUUUACAAUUAAAACUUAUAAAAACAAUCAAACAAAAAUUAUUUGAAUACAAUCCAACAUGAUGAAAUAAAUAUAACUAAAGUAGUCAAGUUUUCACUUUUCAUACAAAUACAAUCACUAAUUCAUUAUUGUGCUUGUGUUUUUUUUAAAAAAAAAUGUUAUUGUAUUAAGUGUAAUUAGGGAUUUAGUAUAAAUGUAUUAGUAAAUUUAGUAUAACCAAUUAAUAAUUUGUAUUAGUACACAUAUAUAAUUAUUAGUAUAAUUAAUAAUAUCAAUUAUAUCAUAUAUACUAAUAGACAUCAUAUAAUACAUAUAACUAAUAAUAUCAUUAUUAUAAGUUUGUAACUAAUUAAAUUAUAUAUUAUAUAUAAUUAUAUACCUAUAUAUAUUUUAUAUAUUGGUUUUUUUAAAGCGGGUGGCGGGGCGGGGGUACACUCCCCCCCCCCCCGCCCCAACCCCCUCCCCAUUAGCCCCCCGCGGGACGGGUGCCCGCAGUCACCCACACCCAUUGCCAUCCCUAAUUGCCAGGUAUAAGGUUAAGUAUUAGUACGAAGCUAUUUCAAUAUGGCUGUUCUCAGUUAUUUGCCAGUGUGAUGGACUUUGCUACAUACUGACAUAGUACCCCCCUAAACCAAGAUCUUCCAUUUAUUGGUAGACAGUGCUGCGUCUGGAAAUGUUACUAAGAAUAUUUACUGUGUUAACGUUUUAACCUAACAUGUAAUUUUGUCUGUAUAACUAUUUAAACUUUAAGUUUUGGCAUGCAAAAAACAGGUUGGAUCUCCAUUGCAUCAGAUAUUUCUCAAGUACUCCAACAUUAUUGGACAUGUAGAGAGAUUUUGUUCCUUUUUCGUUGAUGAAGGUAACGUCUCAUAUAAUGUAUGUGCUUAGAUUUAUUUGUAAUCACUAAGUCUGCUAAGACAUACGUGCAUGUUUUCAAAGACAGUCAACAAAGCUCCAAUUAUGUAUUUGAAGUAUGUCAAGAAUUUGAAAUAUGAGAUUGAGUAUCCUCAAUUUAGGAGUUACUGUUCCACUUAAGUCCCAUUGAAUGUUAUGAGUGAUGUAUAGCUCAAUUCUACGAUUAAAUCUUUGUCCAUUGUUGAAAAUUGGUAUUUUUGGAUCCUUUCAACUAAAGAUUGUAUCCUGUGUGACAUCUUUUUGCUAGACCUAACAGGGAUUCAAUCAUAUCUAGAUUAGUGCUUGGUAAAAGUGUUCUUUUUUUUUUUUGUAUCAAGUUUCAAAUGGUUUUCAAACUCAGAUUUUCUUCUUUGUGAAGUUAUAUGGAAAUUAGAUUUCAAUUUGCAUUCCUUUUUAGAAACAAACAACUGUGGGGGAAUCAACAACUCAUUCAUUUGGCUGUCAAACAACAUCUCCAUCCAUUACCGAAAUGUUAAAAAAUGUUUGAAAAUGUAAAACACAAGGCGGACGCAUCUUGGUCUUAAUAGCUCACCUAAAUCUUUGUUUAUGUUCCCUGUGGUGACUGGCUACAGUUCUAGGAAAUGGCUUAGAGUGAGCAUGGUGUGCAUGUUAGAUAUGAUAGUCAAACCUUAAUUGGAUUCUUAAUUAGUUGAAACAAGUUUGUUUGGCAUACCAAUUUUAUUAUUGAUUAUGAUACUUUUUGGUGCAAAAUUUGAUUCAGACUUUCAUCAAGUUCCUAUUUUAGACAAUAUCCAAAAGGAAAGCUCCUUUGGCAUGUUGGUCUAACAAGAGAUGAGAGGCACUGUUUGGAGAACGUGUAACUAGCUUGACCAUCUAAAUUACUACAUUAAGCUUGCAGUAAUGGUUAUUCAGUAGGGACAUAAUGUAAAUUUAAUGGACCCCUAAGUUAUAGCUGAGUGCACUGUUAACAAUGUGCAAGUCAACUUUAUUAAUCGUGGUAGAAUACGUGUUGCCACAGGAAUAAAAAGGUCAUUGCAGCGUGGCUGAUUGUCAUUCAUUUCAUAGAUCAUCCUUCAACUGUUGUUGUGUUGCUAAUCAGUUAUUAUUUUGCAGCGCCAGUGGAUUUUUCACAUAUGAUAUCAGAAUCAGCACUUUAUGAGAGUAUUGAGACCAAUGGGGUAUUUAUUGGAGGAGGUCAAUAUGGAAAAAUUUAUGUGCACACUGUAGAGGAUGGGGAUCCUACAGGGCUACCGCCAGGAAGCUAUGCUUUCAAGAUACAGCGUCAGGGCUAUUAUCAAUAUGUAAAGGUAAUAUGCUUUAUCCAUUUUCAUGAUAAGGCAAUAUAAAUUAGAUACUUAGUUUUCAGUUUCAUGAUAUUGAAUUUAUUUUAGUUUCAUUACAUUGAAUAGGCGGAGAUACAAUUUAGAUCAGAAUACAGACUUCUGUAUGCGGAUACAUUGCUCAAAUUGGUGGGCUUUGGACUCGAUGAUGCUUGCAGAAGAGCAUGCUUGGUCAUGGAGUAUAUCAGUGGUGGUCAACUGAAACACAAGUUACAUGGUAUCUUUCUUCAUUUGAUUUACUUUUGCUAUAUUUUGAUUGCAUAAAACCUUCACUUCGUGUUUUUCCCUUAUUGCUUGUUGCUAUCCCGGUAAAAUAUGUUUGUACAUAUCCAGAAAAAAAUGAAAUAUAUUUUGUAUUAAGACAAAUCUACGGUAAUUGUGUUGGACAUCCUUGUUUGUUGUGAAUGCUAAAUUGUUUGUCUCAUUUGAUCGUUUAAAAUUUAAAUAUCUAAAUUUGUUCCCUACUAAAUGCAAUCAUGAGGUUUCCUUUAUUUAGUUGAUUGAAAAAUUUAUUACAGAUGACACAACAUGAUUUGGCAUGUUACCGGUUUGAUGUUCUUAUUUUGUUUGUUCUUUUGCGUCUUGAAUUCACUAGAGGAAGAGUGGGAUAGAUAAGAAGACUUCUGUAGUUCCCAUAUUCCUUGGAUACACUUCCCAUUUAAUUACGCGCACGUUCAUUUUGUCCCAUUUACCUUUCUUUAUAUGUCAUGAUUUAAGAAGUCAAAAAUAUCUUACCCCACAUAUCCCUCAAAAACAAUAUUCACCGGAAAAAAUGUUCUUUUCCGGAGUGUGUGGUUUACCAAUGAUCUGACGAUGGAUUGCAGCGCGGUUGGCUUGAUGAUAACAGUAAGGUAGAUUCUUCUACUCGGGGAAACCUUAUAUAAUAUGGUUGAAGAUGAUGGGCUCAUGGUCUCUUUUGGGUCCUUUUAAGUACUCUUUUUUUUGCCGUAUGAUGAAGAUCGAAAUAAAUCUGAGAGUCUAUAAAAGUUCCAUAGAAAUAAAUGUAUCCGAAUUCUUCCACCAUAUGCAUAAGAAAAAUUGGUUUCUGCAUUUGAUUUUUUUUUCCAGGUGUUUUUAUAAUUGGUGGAAUUUAAAAGUCAUUCUGUUAUAUUUUUUUUGUUACAGCGUUUGCAUUACCAGAAUGUUGACAAAACGAAAAGCAACUUGAUUAGUUGAAUUUUAAUUUUUGUGGUUCUUCAAGAAGAAAUUGUUCAAUUAGACCAGCUUCUUGAUGCUUAUGUGCUAGCGAACUGUUGUCAUCUAGUGAGAAAACAAUAAUGUGAGCAGCAAUGAAAGAAAUGCAAGAAUAGUAUGCAUACUGACAUGAAAAUAAAACAGAGAACUACUAUCCUAUGUGAAAUUACACAGUACUUUUUGUCGUCAAGUCUAGACAGCUUUUCAACUGCGAGAAUCUUUACAGAAAAACUUUUAGUCCAUGCUUCAAGGCAAAUGACCUUUUCCUUUUUUUUUUACCCCGUAACGUAACUCAAUAACUGUUUUCUGGUGCAGAUUUGGAAUUACAGUCAAUCGUGAAAGUUUUGCAUGAUAUAGCCUAUGGACUACAUUUGGUCCAUUCACACUUUCCCGAUCCCAUUAUUCAUGGUGACCUCAAGCCAGAGAAUGUCUUAUUAAAAGUAAGAUUAACUCUUGUAAAAUUAGGGAUAUACAUUGACAUUUAAUUCAACAUUUUGACAUGAUGUUGAUAUUUUAUUCCAGGGUGAUAAGGCUUUGCUGUGCGACUUUGGCACGGUCACUUCUGUUGGUGAACGUCGUCGUCGAUCUGAUCCUGUCUACGAUGGUCAAUGCUGGGGUAGGCUAUCCAACUCUUACUUCAUUGCUUUCAUGAUAAUAUCUUGCAAUUUCUAUUUCUUGCACCACUCAAGUGUUUUAUAAAACUUUAGGGAUAAUAUCAGAAACCAUCCUUGAGUUUUCUCUUAAUAUCACUUGGCACCAUUGAAGUUUUAGAAAUAUCACUUACCUUCCCCUAGUAAUUGUAAAAAGAUUAUAUUAACCCUCACUUGACACAUUAUUCAUAUUUCUAUAUGGAAUCAAACAGCAUUAGAAUGUUAAUUGGUCUGGAUUUUAUCUUUUUUGCUUUUUUAUUUUUUAUUUUCCUUUGAAUAGAGUAUGCAAUUUUUGAAUUAAAUAUUUUAAGCUCAGAUGAUUUUAAAAAUGUUUUUACUUUCAUUAUUCGGACAAAAUUUUGCCAUAACUCUCUUUAGUUUGAUUGUUCUCAUGACCAACACGAUUAGUAUACAACGAUUUGUAUACAUAAACUUUGUUAAAGGAGUCAUAGUCUCUAUCUAUGUGGGCAUAUCUUUUCCUAUAUUUAUCCAAAACUCUACUAUUUUUUUCCCAGGGUUCGUCAAUUGCACAAAGACUGAGGUCUACUUCAUUGGGGUUUUGUUAUUUGAAAUGAUCACCAAUGUCUCAGUUAAAUAUGACGAGAAUGAUUCCCUUAUAGAAAGAGUUAAUAGGCUGAUCCCAGAUUCAAGUGCAUGUGAAGAUCAAGUUCAAAAAAGACUAUUGCAGCCUGGAUAUGAUAGACAGUUACUAGCACAACUAAUUGAAUUGGGGAAAAAAUGCAUUUAUAAAGAGGAAACAAAGCGUCUAGCUGCAUUUCAGGUUGCUGAUGUGUUGCAUAGCUUAAUGACUGAGAAUGAGUAGGCCCAUAGAUAUGUAAGAUCAAGAAAAACGUUUGAUUAAUUAUGUAGUUUUAAUUUGCUGUAUGUCACGAUAUCUAUCUAUGUUCAAGAAUGUCAGACUGUCUUUGUUUGGAUUUAACAAAUUUUUGAAAAACUAUUUUUGUCUUUCAUGAUUACGGUGAUUAACUCCCAAAACAACUCUAAAAAAAAUCCAAAAAAUGACACCUAAAAAAAAAAUUCUCACCUUUAUUCUUUUACAUGCUACCUAUCAACUGUGACGAUCCCAUCUCACCCUAGGGCGAACCCUAGAGUUUAGCGGAUCGCCAGUCUGACUCCUGUCAUGACUCACUCACUCACAUUAAUUCCAGAGAUAACAUUAAUUUUGAUUAACUACUAACAAUCCAUUCAAGCUUAUAUUUCCCCAACCAAAACAAGAGUUAUCUUAACUAUAUCAAUUAAUAUGUACAUUCCUUAAAAUAAUAAAUCUGCAUGACUUUACUUCAAAUACAAAAAAUUCACCAAUGUAGAACUCUAAGUUUCGAACUUAUACUACUGACUUCUCACACAUAGGGAUGGCAACGCGGCGAGUUUGGGGCGGGGGAUCCCUUCCCCAUCCUAGGCCCCAUUGCCAAAAAACUCCUCCUACCCCUACCCCGUCCCUCACCUCUGUUGCCCCUACCCUCCCCCCACGGCCCAUCCCGCUUUCUCCGCGGGUGAUAAUUUAGUUUUUUUUUCUAGAACCUUUUAUUCAAUAGAUCAAAACUAAAUUCAAAGAAUAAAAUACAAUACGAAACUGGAAAAAGUGAAAAAAAUGAAAAAUGAAAAAAUAAAAGUGUUAAAAUAAAACACCAAGAAAAUUAAGAAACUCAAUUGGAUUAUAUAAAUAAUAUUUGAAAAUACUCAUAGAAUACAUAACAUGCUUGUACCAAAUAUCAACUAGGAAAUUGAAUAGAAAUGGGAUAAAUGUUAUGUUUAGUUGCCAAUUAUUCUAAAUUUAUUAUUAUUAGAUUAUAUAAUAUUUUACAUUUAUUUAUAUUAAUAAAUUGAAGUGGGGGACGGGACGGGGGAUGAGAUGGGGGUAUCGUCCCCCGCUUCCCGCCCCAUUUUAAAUGGGGGGAGAAAAAUUCCCCCCGUCCCCGUCCUCACCCCGCCUCAUCCUCCUUCCUAUUACUCCUCUCAUGGGACGGGUACCCGUAUGCAGCCGUUUCUAUUGCCAUCCCCAUUCACACACUCGCCUUCCACUCAUGUAAGGAAAACAAAUAGAAGGGUUGAGCUGAUACUCAGUAACGUUCCAAGUGAACCCAUCCAUCCCACAAUAAUCAUAGCAAUCACAAAUCAAUUAUAAAGCAUGAUAUAUAUAUAUAUCCAUUAGCAAUAUAAAACAAAUAACACAUUCAAUGUGAAAGGAUACUGUACUGAUAUAGGCUGUAGAUGUGGCUUCCAUCCGAUUCAAUACAUAGCACUUACUCAUGUUUAGUGAUUUAGUGUCAUUUCCCAAGCAACAGUACCCAACAUUCUCGGUGAUCCAAUGUUCGGUGAUCACCUUGGUGGGUCAUAUUCAAGUAUACCAAUAAACGGUACACAAGGAAAAUCGGCCUACUCGAUCGAAUCCGUUGCUGGCUCGAAUAGGCCGACCGUCGUUAGGGUUUGGGCCCAAAACGGUCAUGCAUAGUUAACAGUAGCAAUUAAACAAUUGAUGGUUCCAAAAGUAAGUAGGUCAAGUGCGAUAAAGUACACACUAAUAUUUUAUCAGUGAAUAAUAAUAGCAAUUUAAGUUGAAAAUUCAAACAAUUAGACAUAGCAAUCCGUCAGUUCACCAAGCAACAAGCCACAACCAUACUUUAAUAUUUAAUCAUGAUACAUACAAGAAACACUCACUCAAUCAAGUGGACAGUCACGCCUUGACUUAGGGGUUUUCUUCUAACUCACCACUGACUCUUGAGACAUACCCAAGCUAUAAUUACUCGACCUUUCGACAAAACUAACUUUCUUUCCAAACUACUAAAUUAUCUUAGUCAAAAUAUGUGACAUAACACAUAACUCUAGUUUCAAAAGGGUUAUCAAACAUGGAGGUAAAAAUGUAUAGAGUUUUUGCAACCAAAUUCUUGAAAUAAGGUUGGAAAAUUUGCCCUCACUCUCGACUUCUUUUGACAAAAAAUUUUUCAUCUAGAUUAUUUCAAAAUUUCUCCAAAAACUAGUGAAUUUAUUCAUGCAUGUUUUGAUUGAAACAUUAAAAGUUCAAUAAACCAAUGUGUGCAAGCUUGCAGCCAAUAUUUUAGUAUUAAAUCUAGAAAGAAAAUGGUGAUUAUGGUGACUCUCGGGCUCCAAGCAGAAACUCCAGCAUUACCACUCCAAUUCCCUUAUAACUUUUGGAUUUAGCACAUCAAAAUUUGACAAUAACUUUUAACAAAGUUUCUCGGUUCAAGGCUAGAAGUUUCCUCCAAAAGAAAGUUACAUGCAAGUGGAUUUUUAACCCAAAACUCAACUUUUUUUCACGGUUCAGGCAUAAAUCAUGCAUUAUAUCAUGAAGUAAUUAUAAAGCAUGAAUCUCCUUGAAAAACUUUGACAAAAAUGGAAGCCACAAGCUGGAAAACAUAGUUUCACCCUAUGGUUCAGACAAGAAAAUUCCCAGCAAGUCUCUCUUCACUUUUCUCACCAAAACAGCACCUCACUUACUCACUUUCAAUCAUAAAUCACACAAUAACAGGCUUGUAACAUGAUAUAAGGUAUUAAUUAGGCAUCCCAGCAAAACUCGGCAAAGAAAUUUGCAUUUAAGAGCUCAAAACUCAAGCCUCUUCCAUGGUUCCAAAGCUCGAAAAAAUUUCAGCAAGAAGGUAGUUUGCCAAGUGAACCUUCCUCCAACGAAACUUUUUAUUUUUCACUCAAACCCAACAUGCUUGUAAAGAUUAGUGAGUUGUAAAGUAUAUCGAACAAAAAUCUGAAAUUUUGCAGGCAAAAGUCGUGGAAAAACUGGAAAAAUUCCCUCUCUCCCUCACUCGGCCAGUCAAGCAAGAUUUCCAACAGUUCCUUCAAACUUUUUCCAUCUAAGUUAUCAACUUCCUACUAAAUUCAAAGGGAAACGUACUGUAUAUAUCAUGCAAAGCAAGAAUAAGACAUAUAUCAUACAUUCCUAGAAAAACCUUUUCCAAAAUUUUGAAUGAAAAGCUGUGGAACAAGAUUGUCCGUAUCAUGCUUAACACACGGCUUCAACCUGGAAAUUUCAGCAGCUACCAGCUCACAUACAUUCUAUAUUUUCACCAAGAUUCAUAUAUCAAAAGGGCUUCAAGAUUUUCUAGCAACUUGCAGCAAAACAAGAGCCACAAUUUGGAAAAAAAAAAGAGUCACCUCUAGUUCGGUCCAAACGGGGAAAUUUCCGGCAAUGAAACAAGUUUCUACUACCAAUUUCUACUUCAAUCCAACCUCAAACCAAACAUGCAUCCAAAUCCCUCUAAAGUAUAUAGAAAGGUUGAAGUUUCUAGCCAUUUUACCUUAUUUUUUUGCUACAACUCAAGCUAGAAGUUAGCUCACCUUCCUACUUUCUCCUCGGCUGGAAAUGGAGGCAAGACAAAGUGUUUCUCUCAGUUGCAAAUGGAGACAAGGCACUAUGGUUUCUCUCGGCUGAAGUGGAAUAAGACAAGGAGAUUCUCUCAACUCUUUCCCUUUAGUUUCUCUCGGUUAGAAAUAGAGCAAGACAUAAAGUUUCUCUCUAUUCUUCUCUCGGUUGGAAAUGGAGCAAGACUAAAGAAAAUUUGACCAAAGAGUUCUUCUUUUUUUUGUCAUGCAAUGAUCUACACUUGGCACUAACAUUUCACCAUUUGUUAAGCAUGCAUAAGUCAAGAACUGAUCUAACAAUUACCCCCACACUUUUGUGUUAUUGUUUAUACCCCUACUAUUUCUUAUCCUAACUAGUGUUAAUUUUUAUAAGGGUUGAUCCUACACUAAUUGAGAGUAUAUUCAAAUUGUUUAAACAGAAGAAAUUAAAAGAGAGGAUAAAUUUGAAAAAACUUAAAAAAUUAUACCAAUAUAAUUAAAAUUUAAGAUUUAUUUAACAAUAGUUCAAUGUAUGACAAAAUAUGUAGAUCAUUCAAGAAUUGCGUUUUUGUGAAAUAUGGAUCUUGAAAUAAUAAUAGAAAUUUAUAUUAGAAAUUGAAUGAUAUAUGGAUAGAAAUAAAUGUAAUUGCAUGUAUUAUUUGAUUUUAAAAUGAAAUACUUACAAAUAUUAUACAUUCGAUUUGAUAAUCUUGUACAAAGGUGCGAACAUUUUUUACAUCAAUUAACUUUUAAUAUGAAAAUUAAUAUUGGUGGUUUAACUAAUUCUAUUGAAUUUUGUAGAGUUCGUAAUACAAAAAAAAUGUUCAGUAAGACUUGUAUUUCUUGGAAAUGAACUUGUGAACCUUUUUAAAAUAUUUCGGUGGGAUCACUAUAGUGUAAGAUUCAUUCUGUGAUCAGUUGUUUUCUUCUUUGUAAUUUUACAAGUUUGGAAUUAAGAUACCAUUGAAAUCAAUGAUAUAACCAAUGGGGGCCACAACCACCCCUCUCAAGUUUUAAAAAUUUUAAUUUAUAUUAUGUAAAUAUUUGUGUAAAAUAAAGUUGGUCCUCCUAAUUUUUUUACAAUUUUAGUUUAUAUUAUGAGAACAUAUGUGUGUGUGUGUAUAUGCGUGCGUGUGUGUAUGAAUUAACUACAUUUGAAUUAUUUUUUCUCAAAAAAGUUAUUUAUUUUUUACAUUCCUUUAUAAUUAAAGUUAAUAUUUGGUAUUUUUAGAUGUCAUAUAUUUAAAUAGAUGAAAAUUAUUUUAAAAUAAAAUACUUACAAACAUGAUGCAUUCGGUUUGAUAAUUUUGUACAAAGAUGCAAAGAUUUUUUUACAUCAAUCAACUUUUAGUAUGAAAAUCAAUAUUGGUGGUUUAAUUAAUUCUGUUGAAUUUUGUAAAGUUCAUACUAAAAAAAAAAAAAGUUCAAUAAGACUUGUAUUUUUUAGAAGUGAAUUUGCUAAACCUUUUAAAAAUAUUUUAGUGGGUUCACUAUGGUAUAAGAUUUAUUUUGUGAUCAGUUGUUUUCUCCUUCAUAAUGUUGCAAGUUUGAAAUUAAUACGCCAUUGAAAUCAAUGAUGGAACCAAUGGGGGGCUAAUGUGGGCCAUAGCUCCUUCUCUCUAAGUUUUAAAAGUUUUAAUUCAUAUUGUGUAAAUAUUUGUAUAAAAUAAAGUUAACCCUUCAAAUUUUUUACAAUUUUAAUUUAUAUUAUGGGAAUAUAUAUAUGUAUCUAUGUGUGUGUGUGUGUGUGAAUUAACUAUCCUUGAAUUAAUUUUUUCUUAAAAAUGUUAUUUAUGUUUUACAUCUCUUUAUAAUUAAUAUUAAAAUUUGAUAUUUUUAGAUGUCAUAUAUUUAAAUAGAUCAAAAUUAUUUUGAACAUAACAUAUAAAAAUAAUUAUGUUAGGAAAAAUUUUAACCCCUUUAGAAAAAAAAAUCUUGGUUUCGUCACUGAUUGAAAUACUUGUAAGUGGGAUUCAUCCAUGAUAAGAGUAUGAUACAUAAUCUUUUUUUUAACUUUAUUUAAUUUGUGUGAUGACAAAUGAAAAUAGGUAAAAUCGGUUUGUGAUCAUCAAUUUUGUGAAUGAUUAUGAGAGUAAAAUACAUUAUGACAAUAAGAUAUGUAGAAUUGUGAAAAUUGUAAUUUAAACAAACUCCUAAAUUUUGGAUAUGUGACUUUCGUAGUUGCAAGUUUCUUAAAUUAGCGGUUAGUUAUUGCUAUCAGGAAACAAAUCUAUUCCUUUAUGCGGGGUGAUAAGUGUUAGUAGUAAAUGUGAGAAGUGAAUUGGAAUUUGCAGAUAUUAUUUUGCAGGAGUGGUCAUUAUCUGUUAGUUAAAAUUAAGUUUUAAUUUUGUGGAUUAAUGGGUUAUGUAAAUUGAAGAGUGAAAAGGGAUAAGGAGAAGAUAAGAGUUAUUGAAUUAAAAUAAAUCUAAAAUUAUAGUAAAAAAAGUUUUAGAUUUCUAACGCUUGUGGAAACUCCUCGUUAAAAACCUGCUCUCUAAUACAUUUAUGUGAUGACAAAUGCAAAUGGGUAAAAUGAGUUAGUGAUCAUCAGUUUUGUGAAUGAUUAUGAGAGUAAAAUACAUUAUGACAAUAAAAUAUGUAGAAUUGUGAAAAUUGUAAUUCAAAUAUACUCCUAAAUUAUGGAUAUAUGACUUUCAUAGUUGCGAGUUUUUUAAAUUAAUGGUUAAUUAUUGUGAGUUUUUUUUAAAAUACGUAGAAUUGUGAAAAUUGUAAUUCAAACAGACUCCUAAAUUUUGGAUAUAUGACUUUCGUAGUUGCGAGUUUUUUAAAUUAACAGUUAAUUAUUGCUAUCAGUAAUAUAGUAAGUGUGAGUAUUAUUAUUAGUGAUAUGAUAAGUGUCGUUAGUAAAUGUGAGACGUGAAUUGAAAUUUGCAGAUAUCAUUUUGCAUGGGUGGUUAUUAUCUGUUUGUUAAAAUUUAGGAAUUUUAAUUUUAUGGGUUAGUGAGUCACGUAAAUUGAAGAGUGGAAAGGGAUAAGGAGAAAAUAAGGGUUAUUAAAUUCAAAUAAAUCUAAAAUUAUAAAAAGAGAUUCAGAUUUCUGACACUCGUGGAAGCGUCUGGUCAAAAACCUGCUAUCUAAUAUAUAUAGGUAUAGAUUGUAGGUGAAAGGUCAGAAUAUGAAUUAACAAAAUGAGGAUAAAGUUCUUAAUUUGCGUAGGUAGUUCUUGAUAACCGCAACAAUGUUUCUUCCUGUUCUUUAUCAUCAGAGUCAUUUAUUAAAAAAAAAAAAAGGGAUUUUGCCCCCACCAAUAAUCAAAGUUCAUGUGAAUUAAAGAGUUGCUUUAGUAAGGGGAUUUAUUCAAGAAUUAACGAUAUAUUUUUACACAGUUUUGAAAACCUAUGUAUUUAACAAAUUCCUUUUUACCAAGCCCAGUAAUUUCAGACGUGCCAAGGACAGGAGAAAAGCCUGGAGUAGUGAAAUAAGACCCAUUUUUCUAAUUUUACCUUAGAUUGAUAAGCUCCUCGACUCGAAUAGUAGCGGACUUAUGGAAUUGGAAUUUGAAUUCCUACCUCCAACUAAAGAAUUCAAAGCUCAAAAUUGGGACAGGUAGAAUUGCAAUUCAGCUCUAAAUCCACAAACCAAUUCGCUACCCAAACAACAGAAUUGGAAUUGGGAAGCACCAAACACACCGUAAGGGAAAAAUUGCAUGUAAUUAAGUGAUAGUUGAUGAUGUGACCGCCAAUUAACCUUUCAAGGUACUAAACAAUUCGCAACAGAAUUGAACCUUAAAAAAGGCUCCUUGAAAAAAAAACCUUAAAAAAGGCUUUAACAAAGAGAACAUACAGAUCAAACAAUAAACUCUCAAGUUUACCAAAAACAAAGGACAAAUUGACUGCAUAGGUAAAUGACAGGUUGUCGACACUUGUGCAAUAAUAAAAAUGAACCUAGUUGUCAAUUAAAGUAGUUGUAACCCAAUUCUAAGUACUGGAGUAGGGACUUUGGAUGUAUAAUAAGUUAUUUGAUUCACCCUGUUUCAGAAGAAUUUACUUAAUCCGAUAUACCAGAAUGAGAUUGCUUAUUCACAAAAAAUUAUUGAUUUGUAUAAAGGACAAGUAAGGUCGUCUCCUCAGGGAUUGAAGAUAUUUGUCUCUUUUGCAAUUCAAGUAACAAGAGGGGUGCUUUUGUAUAAAUGGUGACAAUUAAAACAGUUCAAAUAGGAACAAAUAGCUAACUAAAAAUUAAAUGACAAUUUACUAAAAUCAGAUUAAUAAUAACUAAAGAUCUAGCUAAGAAAUAACUUCGGCAACAGUUCAUCUAAUUGAUCAUCAAUGCAAAGGUAAUUCCAAUUAUUUACUAAUAAAUAGGUUAUAAAUGCCAAACACAUGAUAACAGUCAACCCCUCCUUACUGUGUCGGUGAUUAAGGUACGUCCGUUAAUCACUGCUCUAAUUGAGAAAUAAUUUUAGGUACGCCCGAAAGAUUUAAUUCCCCAAUUACCUUACGUAUUAGAGGAGGACUAUUCUAACCAAACAAUACACUACCAGGGUUAUUUUAGAUUAGCCUGCGCAUUUCCCUAACAUAAAUCCAAUCAUGCCAGUUGUCACUAUUUUAUAGCAAUUAAACAAUUACGAAUUUAAUGCUCCAAUUGACAAUAGGUUACUAAAUCAAUUCAUUAUCCAGAUCCAAAAUAAUCAAUUAAUUAAACAACCAUAAGCACUGCAAUCAGAGAAUAUACAAAUACCAAUAAAUAAGAGGAAUAAAUAAAAUUAAUUCGAUCUCAUAAUUUUUAGACGAACCAAAACCUCCGUAGUUCUUUGGCUAGAAAAAGAGAUUUAGUUCAUCUCUAUGGAGAAAAUCCCACGCGAAAAUUCAGAAGUCAUUAUCGAAGACAUUCCUCCAAAAUUCGAUAAAGUAAAUCGGUUCAAUGAAUAGUAAAUAAAAAAUCCACUAAGCCAAAGAAUGACCAUUUCUUUCUACUUUCCUCUAACAUACGAUGAAUAGACCCCAUAAAAAAGACGAAAAAGAAAAAGUCAAGAGAAAACCUAAAGUAGUACAAAAUUCUUUGCUCUUUUCCUUACUAAAAUCCUAUAUAUUCUCUAUUUCCUAUUCGACUACCAAUAAGGAGUACAAGGAAGACUCCUAGUCUCCAUUGAUUUCCUCCGCAGUUGGCUCUCCAAAAGCUACCAAAAAGAUAGGAUUCCUAAUCCCAAUUUGACUCCUUUCGUUGCACUUCCAAACGAGAGUCGGUGUUGCGCGCCUUUCCCGAACCUUCUGGACAUGUUAAGACCUGGGUUGACGUGACCAUGCCAAGCAGUAUUUGCAGUACGAUAUUCGCACUUUUUUACCACAUUUUGGUCCAACUCCCUGCGAUAAGCGCAAAUGCCAAAAGUGAGUGGAAUCUGAUAAUUAAUCCACAUUUGGUAAGGUAAUAGAGAAAAUUAAUUCUAAAAUAAAUGAUCAAAUUGCACCCCAUCAAUUUCUCCCACACCUAAACCAUACUUGUUCUCAAGUAUGAGAACAGCAAACAAAUACCAAUUUCUGACAAUGACGAUUACUCCAAUUACCUUAUUGCCAAGAUAUCGAGAAAAACACCUAUCAAGUAUGAAUGGUCAAGAUCCAAGAAACAUCAUCCCGAUUAGCGUCUAAACCGCAGAUUCCCCCAAUUUAUGGCUAACUAUUCUAAGAAAAAGGAAUGGUCUAUCAACAUUUAUCAGCAAAUUGUCUAACUAUUAACCAAAAUCUCAACAUAAACCCAUAGAUCAGAAGGCUAACUUUAGACGCACAUUUACACAACUUUCACAUUUCUUGUUGUUUUUAUGAUCUUUUUCUUUUUUUGCUUUUUUUCUUUUUUUUUUUUGGAGUAAUAAUAGGCUUAGUUUCUAGCCACUAGAGCCUUUUGAUGCGAACUCCAAUAUUUGUUAGAUGAAGGAGUCCGAUUACUCAGCUCCUAUCGCUACAUGACCACGUAAUCAUAGAAAUUGCUAUUUUUUGACACGAGAAUCGAUACUUUUCAUGAAGAUCCCCGGUUAUUCAGCAGUAACCGCUAGCGGAGUACAACCAACUUUAAUUCUCAAUCAGGCAACAAAAUAACUCAAAAUAACACAAAAAUAGCAGCAGCUAGCCUUAUUUUUUCAAACAUGGAGAACUAAAGUUAAUAAUUAGACCAAUUCAUAUGAAAAUACCAACAGUUAUUCCCUACGCCUAGAAAAGUUAACCAAAAAUUAUAAGAGUCACACAAUCAUCGAUAUUCAUCAAAGAGAUAUUUUUGGACUUAACCAAAUUAAUUUGAUAUACUUUUAUUACUAAAACUUGACAAUAGUGAAAUUAGAGUCAACAACCAACAUCGAACCUUGGCAGUCAUAGGAGAGCUGAUCACUAAUAAAAGUCAAAAGAAAAUAAGCGAAAAAUAGAAAAAUAAGGGAAAAACAUCUAAAAACUAAAAACUAGAAAUACUAGCCAUACCACAGCUGUCCCCCUCCCCCACACCUAAAUCCGAUAUUGUCCCCAAUGAAGGUAAUAGAGCAAUUAAAGCGAAGAGGACAACGGAACUUUCCUCUCAAGUGGCUAAGGGAUAGACGGGAACGGUGGAGUGAACCCGAUGUGGUGGAAGUACGCGGCCAGAUUCUGAGACAUCUAAGCCACUUGGUUGGCGAUGUUCAUCACUCUUUCAUCCACAUGGUGAACCUAUGCACGCAAGUGGCGCCACUCAGCAUUUGAGGCCAUCGACGGAUAAGGUGCAGAAGAAGAAGGGCUGGCAGUGUCAUCGGCCGAUCCAAGAGCUGAAGAAAACCCUGCUCGUGUCGAAGGGCGUCGACCUAGAGCCCGAAUGAGUCCUGGAAGUAUAAACUGGAACAUAUCGUUAACCCGCUCUAGAACUCCCAUUUUCUAGAGACAGUCUGCAUCCAGAAGCUCCAUGUCGAAAGCCAGAUGGAGAUCGUGAUUCUGCAAAUUAAGAACCCUCAACUAGAUUGCCAGGUGCGUGAUAUACGAUCCGAGUAUUAAGGAUUUGUUUUUCUUGGCUAAAAUGGCCUUAAAUUGUGAUGCCAGCCAACACCCCAAAUUUAUCUUGAUAUUAUUUUUCAUACACCACAGAAAGAAGAACUCGGGUCGAGAAAGUACACCGGAACUGUUUUUGGGACCCGAGUAGCUGUAGGCCAAGAAUCACUGAAUAUACUGGGUACUGGGAUCCUUAAGAUAAGAACUUCUAGAUCUAGAAGGGUCAUAGCGGUCUCUGUCGACAGACAUAUCCCUCCAAAUAUCGGGGUAGUGAGAGAAAAAUGGUUCUACAUAGUCACAUGCACUCUCAGCGUAUUCCAUAGUCUCAACAUACUUUCGAAUAAUGAAUCCAAAGGCCAAAUUAAAUUGAGUGAUAGAGAAAUUGUACUCUUGACCCAUAAGGCGGAAGUGAAUCAUAUUUGGGGUAUCUACAGUAUACCCCGUAAGCAACUCAAACUCAAAAGUGGAGUAAAACUCUCUAACAAGUUCGAUAAAGACGGGACAGAAAAUAUCAAUAUAGGGGCGCCACCCAAUGGCAGUAAACAUCCGUUCAACCUCUUCCCUAAUACCCAGUGCAUUCAUGACAAUUCUCUCAUAAUAUUUGCAGGGAAUGAUACGCCGCUCACAAACCUUAACAUAUCUUUGUUGAUCAGCAGCCCUAGUGAAAUUUAAAUGCCCCCCAAAGUGAGCGGUGUAGCCACAUGAACACCCCUACCCCUACUCCUACCUAGGCGAGUUUGGACACCUAAAGAGAACGGUUGAUUGGUAGGUUCAUUCAUUGGAAUGGUGGGUUGGGGUGGAGUAGGCUGAGGUUGAGAGGUUCUAGACCUAAAAGAGGAUUUAGGCCUCACCAUUGUCCUUAGCAGUUAAUCCAACCAUCAAGAGAUAAAAUUUCCAACAAAUAUAGGAAUAAGCAAAUGCAAAUCAAUAGGUACUUGUGUUCCCCAAUUCAAUAGUCAAAUGCAAAAUUUUUCCACUCAAAUGCUCAACAAAUUCCCCUAAUGAAUUAAUACUCAAUGAAUAAACAGAUUACUGGCAACAUUCACUGCAAUGAAAUCAACCAACAAUACCGCAAUCAACCCAAUAGGCACUGUUGUCUCUCAAUUGAACCAUUAAAUGCAACCACAAUAUCAGUAAAUCCCCAGACAGUGCAACUCAAUUCAGCCAACUAGUAAUGUUGUCACAACAUCCACAAUGGAGUUCAAAAAUUAAUCCCAACAAUCGAUGCUCCAAUCAAUCAGUGUAAGGGGAAGAAUUGAAGGGCACCUCUACACCGCUGAGUAUAUGAAGUGAUGUGCGACGAGGGGAGUAGUGGGUGGUCUGAGAGACGCUGCGGUGGCAGUAACUGUGGCGGUGGCAGUAACUGUGGCAGUGACAGCGCGCAAGUGAAGAGGGAAAUGAGCGGCAGACGGUGGAGAGUUCAGCAGGGGAGAGAGAAAGUGAGGGGGCGCGCGGCUCUUGGACUGCAUGGCGGUGGAGAGUUCGCGCGUUGGUAGCGAAGUGGCAGCGGCGCUGCGAGGUUGGCGACGACUUGGGCUGGCGGCGUCGAGGAGAGAGAAAGACAUAGUGACGUGCGGUUGACGUGCGUUGAU